This is a microRNA precursor of Aotus nancymaae (Ma's night monkey), 83 nucleotides long. NCBI's taxonomy places the organism in Eukaryota, Metazoa, Chordata, Mammalia, Primates, Aotidae. The record is from Ensembl.
AUAGUGUUCUUCAGGGUUUUACUUGGGAGGCUGGAGUGGCCAGUAUUCCUAAACAAUUCUAAGUGCCUUGGCCCACAAUAUAC